GACGAACGCUGGCGGCGUGCUUAACACAUGCAAGUCGAACGAAGAGCGAUGGAAGCUUGCUUCUAUCAAUCUUAGUGGCGAACGGGUGAGUAACGCGUAAUCAACCUGCCCUUCAGAGGGGGACAACAGUUGGAAACGACUGCUAAUACCGCAUACGAUUUAAUCUCGGCAUCGAGGAUAGAUGAAAGGUGGCCUCUACAUGUAAGCUAUCACUGAAGGAGGGGAUUGCGUCUGAUUAGCUAGUUGGAGGGGUAACGGCCCACCAAGGCGAUGAUCAGUAGCCGGUCUGAGAGGAUGAACGGCCACAUUGGGACUGAGACACGGCCCAGACUCCUACGGGAGGCAGCAGUGGGGAAUCUUCCGCAAUGGACGAAAGUCUGACGGAGCAACGCCGCGUGAGCGAUGACGGCCUUCGGGUUGUAAAGCUCUGUUAAUCGGGACGAAAGGCCUUCUUGCGAAUAGUGAGAAGGAUCGA
This 475-nucleotide ribosomal RNA is filed under the name Veillonella parvula. RNAcentral's name for it is "bacterial SSU rRNA". It matches the Rfam family "Bacterial small subunit ribosomal RNA", at positions 28 to 472 of the family's 1533-position model. The record is from RNAcentral. Lineage: Bacteria; Bacillati; Bacillota; Negativicutes; Veillonellales; Veillonellaceae.